UUUCGGUGCAAGAUGAGCUCGCGGCCUAUCAGCUUGUUGGUGGGGUAAUGGCCUACCAAGGCGUCGACGGGUAGCCGGCCUGAGAGGGUGUACGGCCACAUUGGGACUGAGAUACGGCCCAGACUCCUACGGGAGGCAGCAGUGGGGAAUAUUGCACAAUGGGCGGAAGCCUGAUGCAGCGACGCCGCGUGGGGGAUGAAGGCCUUCGGGUUGUAAACUCCUUUCGACAGGGACGAAGCGUAAGUGACGGUACCUGUAUAAGAAGCACCGGCUAACUACGUGCCAGCAGCCGCGGUAAUACGUAGGGUGCGAGCGUUGUCCGGAAUUACUGGGCGUAAAGAGCUCGUAGGUGGUUUGUCGCGUCGUCUGUGAAAUUCCGGGGCUUAACUCCGGGCGUGCAGGCGAUACGGGCUGACUUGAGUGCUGUAGGGGAGACUGGAAUUCCUGGUGUAGCGGUGAAAUGCGCAGAUAUCAGGAGGAACACCGAUGGCGAAGGCAGGUCUCUGGGCAGUAACUGACGCUGAGGAGCGAAAGCAUGGGUAGCGAACAGGAUUAGAUACCCUGGUAGUCCAUGCCGUAAACGGUGGGCGCUAGGUGUAGGGGGCUUCCACGUCUUCUGUGCCGUAGCUAACGCAUUAAGCGCCCCGCCUGGGGAGUACGGCCGCAAGGCUAAAACUCAAAGGAAUUGACGGGGGCCCGCACAAGCGGCGGAGCAUGUGGAUUAAUUCGAUGCAACGCGAAGAACCUUACCUGGGCUUGACAUAUACAAGACAGGCGUAGAGAUACGUCCUCCCUUGUGGUUUGUAUACAGGUGGUGCAUGGUUGUCGUCAGCUCGUGUCGUGAGAUGUUGGGUUAAGUCCCGCAACGAGCGCAACCCUUGUCUUAUGUUGCCAGCAUUUGGUUGGGGACUCAUGAGAGACUGCCGGGGUCAACUCGGAGGAAGGUGGGGAUGACGUCAAAUCAUCAUGCCCCUUAUGUCCAGGGCUUCACACAUGCUACAAUGGUCGGUACAACGCGCAGCGACACUGUGAGGUGGAGCGAAUCGCUGAAAGCCGGCCUUAGUUCGGAUUGGGGUCUGCAACUCGACCCCAUGAAGUCGGAGUCGCUAGUAAUCGCAGAUCAGCAACGCUGCGGUGAAUACGUUCCCGGGCCUUGUACACACCGCCCGUCACGUCAUGAAAGUUGGUAACACCCGAAGCCAGUGGCUCAAACUCG
RNAcentral lists this ribosomal RNA (1216 nucleotides) under Corynebacterium striatum. RNAcentral's name for it is "bacterial SSU rRNA". It matches the Rfam family "Bacterial small subunit ribosomal RNA", at positions 213 to 1443 of the family's 1533-position model. The record is from RNAcentral. Lineage: Bacteria; Bacillati; Actinomycetota; Actinomycetes; Mycobacteriales; Corynebacteriaceae.